Long non-coding RNA from Tachysurus fulvidraco (yellow catfish), 353 nucleotides. RefSeq lists it as uncharacterized. Lineage: Eukaryota; Metazoa; Chordata; Actinopteri; Siluriformes; Bagridae. The transcript is spliced from 3 exons. The record is from RefSeq and is a predicted model, not a curated record.
CACACACACACACACACACACACACACUUUAUCGGCGGCGGCGGCCUGAACGACGACAUAAACAGGCGAUUGACAUCAUAUGUGCUGCGUGUAGAAAGAAGAAGACAUGCAGGUCUUAUCUCACACAUCAGGUCUCAACAACGAACAACCCUCUGUCUUCUAUUACUGAUGCAUGGUGAAUCAAAUGAAUCGAAACUCGAGCUCGAUGACGCAAACAGCAGUCUUGGCUGUGUGCUUCCUUGACUGAAGGACGGCUGAUCCGCUGCCUCCCCACCACUUAAGCGCAUAAACUGUGUGCGAUAUGGGACAUCCCCCCUUGGUGGAUAGUUCUCCCAUACAUUCCCAGUAUUUGG